UCUGCGCAACAAAUGCAAAUGUCAUUGCCUUGCGUAAAACAACCCGAUGUCAUCACCUGCAAAGAUCAAAGAAUAUGAAGCACACACAGACUUUAUCAGGAGUGUUGCUGUCCAUCCCACUCUACCAUAUCUGUUGUCAUGUUCUGAUGACAAGGUUAUAAAGCUUUGGGAUUGGGAGAAGGAUUGGUCAUGUACUCAGAUCUUCGAGGGGCAUUCGCACUAUGUGAUGCAAGUGGCAUUUAAUCUGAAAGACCCCAAUACUUUUGCUAGUUCGCUUGAUGGCACCAUUAAGUAUGGGACAUUGAAACCAAAAGUUGUGUGCAAACUCUAGAAGGUCAUGAGCACAAUGUAACAGCUGUAUGUGUUCAUGCUGAGCUUCCCAUAAUAAUUACAGUUUCUGAGGAUGGGAACGUUCACUUAUGGAAUGCAACCACUUUUAGGCUAGAGGACAAAUUGAACUAUGCUCUUGGAAGAGUAUGGGCCAUUGGACACUUGAAAGGAUCAAACAAGGUUGAGGGUUGCAUUUGGUUUUGACAAAUGAAUGGCUCUCAUACUUGGGAUUCUGUUGACCUCCAAGCUUUGAAGGAAAGGUUGAAGGAAUAAAGACUGAUGCCUAUAAAUUCAAGAAUUAUUUUACCUUCUACAUGCACCUCAAAAUUUCAAGAAAGAAAUAAGGGAUAUAUAGAGCAAUAUGGAAGGAAAAAGGGUUCCAGGAGACUUGUGCAAGCAGUACUCAUCGUCAUGACUCAUGAUGAUGAUCGUGUUUUCGGUGAGUCAAGUGCAGGCUCAGUCGAUAACGUGCCUGCUCAAAUGCAUGCUCUUCUGUCAUUGUGUUAAAGCCAGCACAAUUUGUACAGGCUUGUGUUUGAAAGAUUGUAAGAAGACGCUCCCAGACCCUCUCUACUACUGUAAUCUUGGUUGCACAACUUCCAUCUGCACCAACCUCAGCCCUGAAAAGCUAGAUGGUUGUGCGGAUUCAGGCUCAGAAAACUGCAGAGAAGUUUAUGCUGCCAACUAGUAUUUGUAUAAGCAUAAUGAAUAAAAGACUCUCAACUGGUAUUUGUAAUAGCAGACAAUAUAUUGUUGAAUAAGAAAAUAUUGAGAGGCUUCUAAUUUAAAUAAAUCUAUGAUUGAGGUGGUUGUCGGGCCUGUCAUUGAGGUAAGAAA
This is a non-coding RNA of Prunus avium (sweet cherry), 1167 nucleotides long. The record is from RefSeq and is a predicted model, not a curated record. NCBI's taxonomy places the organism in Eukaryota, Viridiplantae, Streptophyta, Magnoliopsida, Rosales, Rosaceae.